UACGGAGGAUGCGAGCGUUAUCCGGAUUUAUUGGGUUUAAAGGGUGCGUAGGCGGCUUUUUAAGUCAGCGGUGAAAGCCCCGGGCUCAACCUGGGAACUGCCUUUGAAACGGGACAUCUUGAGUUCGGAAGAGGGUAGCGGAAUUCCCAGUGUAGAGGUGAAAUUCGUAGAUAUUGGGAAGAACACCAGUAGCGAAGGCGGCUACCUGGUCCGACACUGACGCUGAGGCGCGAAAGCGUGGGGAGCAAACAGGAUUAGAUACCCGGGUAGUCCCUGAGCGGGCUGGCAAGG
Molecule: ribosomal RNA, 291 nt
Filed under: uncultured prokaryote
Description: partial 16S ribosomal RNA
Rfam family: Bacterial small subunit ribosomal RNA
Source: RNAcentral